CGGACUUAUUUCUCCUCGCCACUAGAUAAAUAAUACACUAUUUACAACCCUCGAAAAAUAGAGUAGUUGGCGUUGACUGUAAUUGGCAAUAGUGCCGCUUUUGAAUUUUGAUGCUAACGUUGUGUUCAAACCCUAACGGCAUUUUUUAAAUAUAUUCCAAACUUGUUUGAUCAACAAACAUUACAAUAAUAUGCCGCCCAGUGAGUUGUUAAGAUCAAACCAGUUGCACAGCAUCAAUAAACCCAGUGGUCAAACAUGCAGAAGACGUCUGCAAAAUAAUUUUGACGAAUGCGACAGAGCGGAAGCGAAAACCGCAGAUAGGAGUGUUUUAUCUGUGUUAUCAUUUAAUGAUAACACGCGAAGGGCACUACGCAAUGGAGCAGAAAGACUAACCAAAACUUUGAAUGCAGUUCGAACCACAAUUGGAACAAUCACACAAAAGUUCCGGGUUUCCACAAGACGUAGGCAGAUAUUGGAAGAAGGUCCAAUGACGCCAAACUGCGCCACACCACAUACUUUUUCAAAGCAGAUGCUGGGACGAACUCCAACCAAGUUGUAUAGCCCUUUUGGUAUAGAUACACCAAUCAGUAGGAACACACAUGGAAAAGAAAAUCAACCAUAAGAUGGUAUUUUAAUAACUUAAUAAGUAUGGUGUUUUAGAAUUAUGCAUGUUUCGAAAUAAUUGAGUAUUAGAAGUCAGUGAGACUGAUUCAGGUUUUUUUUGUAAGAUACAUUACAGUUUAAGUAAUGUAGAGUUUUAAGUAUUUAUUUACUUUAAAACAAUUUUUAAUAAACAUUAUUUUAGUA
Zophobas morio is the source of this 807-nucleotide long non-coding RNA. RefSeq lists it as uncharacterized. The record is from RefSeq and is a predicted model, not a curated record. Lineage: Eukaryota; Metazoa; Arthropoda; Insecta; Coleoptera; Tenebrionidae. The transcript has 2 exons.